This is a non-coding RNA of Oryza barthii, 209 nucleotides long. Lineage: Eukaryota; Viridiplantae; Streptophyta; Magnoliopsida; Poales; Poaceae. The record is from Rfam.
CCUCCGUCGAAAAAAAAAAGUUUCCGUAUCCAACGUUUAACCGUCUGUUUUAUUUUAAAAAAUUAUAAAAAAAAAUUAAAAAGACAAGUCACACACAAAGUAUUAAUUAUGAUUUAUCAUCUAACAACAAUAAAAAUACUAAUUAUAAAAAAAUUUAUAUAAGACGGACAGUCAAACGUUGGACACGAAAACCCAUGAUUUGUUUUUUU